GAGUUUGAUCGUGGCUCAGGACGAACGCUGGCGGCAGGCCUAACACAUGCAAGUCGAACGAGAAACCAGAGCUUGCUCUGGUGGGACAGUGGCAGACGGGUGAGUAACGCGUGGGGAAUAUACCCAGUAGUACGGGAAUAGCCUUUGGAAACGGAGAGUAAUACCGUAUUCGCCCUUCGGGGAAGGAUUUAUUCGCUAUUGGAGUAGCCCGCCGUUAGAUUAGAUAGUUGGUAGGGUAAUGGCCUACCAAGUCGACGAUCUAUAGCUGGUUUGAGAGGAUGAUCAGCCACACUGGGACUGAGACACGGCCCAGACUCCUACGGGAGGCUGGCAGUGAGGAAUAUUGGGACAAUGGGGGAAACCCUGAUCCAGCCAUGCCGCGUGAAUGAAGAAGGCCUUAGGGUUGUAAAGUUCUUUCGUCGGUGAAGAUAAUGACGGUAGCCGAAGAAGAAGCCCCGGCUAACU
Molecule: ribosomal RNA, 465 nt
Filed under: uncultured microorganism
Description: bacterial SSU rRNA
Rfam family: Bacterial small subunit ribosomal RNA
Source: RNAcentral